UCCUAGUGCCAUUCAGCAGGGCAGAGAAAGUUGGUCACUCGGGAGUAGGGGUAGUGGCCCAGGAUAGGUGUCUCCCCUGAAGAGGGCGAGGAGGGUAUUCAUGAUUGAGGACAGCGUGGUGUAUCAGACAGCCUAAGUAGAUAAGAAGGGCUUCCAGGAGAAUCUCUCACAGUAAUAAACACAGCCCAGAUUGCCUCUUCUAGAUACUAUUCUCCACUAAAAGAAACCAGGGCUUCUUGGAGAGUUUCCAAGAAUUCCAGGAUUCAAGUCCUGAUUCCAGGACUGAGGUGAACAGAAGUAACGUUUGCUGAAUGCCCUGCCGUUUAGAGUACCCAAACCACAAGCUCUUAUCCCAAAGUGCCAACAAAGAAAACUACAACUCAUCUGAGAGGCUGCAGUUUUCUGAAGGAGCCAACAUUCAGAGGGAAGGUCAACACAAAUGAAUAGAACAUACGCCCAGAGAAAUAGCACUGCUGCAGGAGGAAGACAGUAUCUUGACUCUGGAAGUAAUAGGAGCACAAAGGAUAGAUUCCAGGGUAGCACACAAACUGCUCUGAAGAGUAAAAGACCAUGAUUUCUGAACAAAACAAUUCGAUAGAUGAAUGGAAGGACACAGUGGAGCCCAAAUUGGAAGACCAAGUGCAGGAACACACACCUACCCUGAUGCAAACAAUCUCCCUGCUUCUUUACACUUACUUAAGGGCUUCCCUUCUUUCUGCCACUCUGGCUUCUUUCUGCCACUCUGGCAGAAACAUCUGUUCCUGUCUUAGGUCAACCCUGCCACUUGUGAGUUAGAUACUCGUUAGACUAAUAGAGGCAUUGCUCCAACAGUUGUCUCCAUCUGGCUGUUGUACAAUCUUUAUUUAUUUAUUUAUUUAUUUACUUAUUUACUUACUUACUUACUUACUUAU
Molecule: long non-coding RNA, 911 nt
Organism: Piliocolobus tephrosceles (Ugandan red Colobus)
Lineage: Eukaryota; Metazoa; Chordata; Mammalia; Primates; Cercopithecidae
Exons: 3
Source: RefSeq, a predicted model, not a curated record